RNAcentral lists this ribosomal RNA (489 nucleotides) under Pediococcus acidilactici. Its description in RNAcentral is "bacterial SSU rRNA". It matches the Rfam family "Bacterial small subunit ribosomal RNA", at positions 962 to 1450 of the family's 1533-position model. Lineage: Bacteria; Bacillati; Bacillota; Bacilli; Lactobacillales; Lactobacillaceae. The record is from RNAcentral.
GAAGGAACCUUAACAGGGUCUUGACAUUUUCUGACAACCUAAGAGAUUAGGCGUUCCCUUCGGGGACAGAAAUGACAGGUGGUGCAUGGUUGUCGUCAGCUCGUGUCGUGAGAUGUUGGGUUAAGUCCCGCAACGAGCGCAACCCUUAUUAAUAGUUGCCAGCAUUCAGUUGGGCACUCUAGUGAGACUGCCGGUGACAAACCGGAGGAAGGUGGGGACGACGUCAAAUCAUCAUGCCCCUUAUGACCUGGGCUACACACGUGCUACAAUGGAUGGUACAACGAGUCGCGAAACCGCGAGGUUUAGCUAAUCUCUUAAAACCAUUCUCAGUUCGGACUGUAGGCUGCAACUCGCCUACACGAAGUCGGAAUCGCUAGUAAUCGCGGAUCAGCAUGCCGCGGUGAAUACGUUCCCGGGCCUUGUACACACCGCCCGUCACACCAUGAGAGUUUGUAACACCCAAAGCCGGUGGGGUAACCUUUAGGAGCU